This 468-nucleotide ribosomal RNA is filed under the name uncultured bacterium. RNAcentral's name for it is "partial 16S ribosomal RNA". It matches the Rfam family "Bacterial small subunit ribosomal RNA", at positions 28 to 507 of the family's 1533-position model. The record is from RNAcentral.
GACGAACGCUGGCGGCGUGCUUAACACAUGCAAGUCGAACGGAAAGGCCCUGCUUUUGUGGGGUGCUCGAGUGGCGAACGGGUGAGUAACACGUGAGUAACCUGCCCUUGACUUUGGGAUAACUUCAGGAAACUGGGGCUAAUACCGGAUAGGAGCUCCUGCUGCAUGGUGGGGGUUGGAAAGUUUCGGCGGUUGGGGAUGGACUCGCGGCUUAUCAGCUUGUUGGUGGGGUAGUGGCUAACCAAGGCUUUGACGGGUAGCCGGCCUGAGAGGGUGACCGGCCACAUUGGGACUGAGAUACGGCCCAGACUCCUACGGGAGGCAGCAGUGGGGAAUAUUGCACAAUGGGCGGAAGCCUGAUGCAGCAACGCCGCGUGCGGGAUGACGGCCUUCGGGUUGUAAACCGCUUUCGCCUGUGACGAAGCGUGAGUGACGGUAAUGGGUAAAGAAGCACCGGCUAACUACGUG